GACGAACGCUGGCGGCGUGCUUAACACAUGCAAGUCGAACGGAAAGGCCCCUUUGGGGGUACUCGAGUGGCGAACGGGUGCGUAACACGUGCGUAACCUUCCCUUGACUUCGGGAUAACUUCAGGAAACUGGGGCUAAUACCGGAUAGGAAUCCUUGCUGCAUGGUGGGGGUUGGAAAGCUUCGGCGGUUUUGGAUGGACUCGCGGCUUAUCAGCUUGUUGGUGUGGUAGUGGCUUACCAAGGCUUUGACGGGUAGCCGGCCUGAGAGGGCGACCGGCCACAUUGGGACUGAGAUACGGCCCAGACUCCUACGGGAGGCAGCAGUGGGGAAUAUUGCACAAUGGGCGGAAGCCUGAUGCAGCAACGCCGCGUGCGGGAUGACGGCCUUCGGGUUGUAAACCGCUUUCAGCAGGGGCGAAGCUUUUGUGACGGUACCUGCAGAAGAAGCACCGGCUAACUACGUG
RNAcentral lists this ribosomal RNA (464 nucleotides) under uncultured bacterium. Its description in RNAcentral is "partial 16S ribosomal RNA". It matches the Rfam family "Bacterial small subunit ribosomal RNA", at positions 28 to 507 of the family's 1533-position model. The record is from RNAcentral.